Molecule: ribosomal RNA, 465 nt
Filed under: uncultured bacterium
Lineage: Bacteria
Description: partial 16S ribosomal RNA
Rfam family: Bacterial small subunit ribosomal RNA
Source: RNAcentral
GACGAACGCUGGCGGCGUGCUUAACACAUGCAAGUCGUACGGUAAGGCCCUUUCGGGGGUACACGAGUGGCGAACGGGUGAGUAACACGUGAGUAACCUGCCCACAACUUUGGGAUAACGCUAGGAAACUGGUGCUAAUACUGGAUAUGUGCUCCUGCUGCAUGGUGGGGGUUGGAAAGCUCCGGCGGUUGUGGAUGGACUCGCGGCCUAUCAGCUUGUUGGUGGGGUAGUGGCCUACCAAGGCGGCGACGGGUAGCCGGCCUGAGAGGGUGACCGGCCACAUUGGGACUGAGAUACGGCCCAGACUCCUACGGGAGGCAGCAGUGGGGAAUAUUGCACAAUGGGCGCAAGCCUGAUGCAGCAACGCCGCGUGCGGGAUGACGGCCUUCGGGUUGUAAACCGCUUUCAGCAGGGACGAAGCUUUUUGUGACGGUACCUGCAGAAGAAGCACCGGCUAACUACGAG